CUUGGGACUGUUACUUGCGGGAUCACAACAUAGGUUUUGAUUUGGAAAGAUAUAUUUGUCCAUUUGAAAUUAAUACUUGCUAAUUGUUCUUCAUGAAUCCAAGGACAUCCAAUACCAUAUCUUGUGCUGACGUGGAAGUCUUCAUCACAGGCAACAAUGGUGGAGGAUCAUAUAAAAUCUCUAAGUGUCUUCAAUAGGGAGCUAUAGCUAAGUCAGUAGGGUUCCACUUUAUUGUUGGGACCGUGAUCAAUAAUGAUUGGAGAUGAUUAGAUGGUCAUUUAUACAUGUUUGGUGCUCCACUUGAAGGUGUCUCAGACUCCACAACUCUGUUGGGUAUUUCACGCUUAUAUAUGAAAAUGACAAUUAUCUUUUAAGAUA
Glycine soja is the source of this 378-nucleotide long non-coding RNA. RefSeq lists it as uncharacterized. NCBI's taxonomy places the organism in Eukaryota, Viridiplantae, Streptophyta, Magnoliopsida, Fabales, Fabaceae. The transcript has 2 exons. The record is from RefSeq and is a predicted model, not a curated record.